AAUGAAUUUGAGUCGAUUGAGUUGACCUGCUUGAUAGAGUCCAUUUCUACAAACAAUCCCAGAAUUGAAUGGAAGAAAAUUAAAAAUGGUGUACCCAGCUAUGUCUAUUUCCAAAAUAAAAUUUCAGGUGACUUGGAGCACAGGGCUUUGCUGAGAGAGCCUGCAAACCUUCUGAUCCUGAACGCCAGCAGAUCGGACACAGCUCUGUAUCGCUGUGAGG
This is a long non-coding RNA of Sinocyclocheilus grahami, 220 nucleotides long. RefSeq lists it as uncharacterized. NCBI's taxonomy places the organism in Eukaryota, Metazoa, Chordata, Actinopteri, Cypriniformes, Cyprinidae. The transcript has 3 exons. The record is from RefSeq and is a predicted model, not a curated record.